This is a small nucleolar RNA of Peromyscus maniculatus bairdii (prairie deer mouse), 65 nucleotides long. The record is from Ensembl. Lineage: Eukaryota; Metazoa; Chordata; Mammalia; Rodentia; Cricetidae.
UGGUGAUGAGAUACUUACUGUGUUGAAUUAAGGUGAUUUUUCUUAUAUGCUAUUCUGAGCUGGAA